RNAcentral lists this ribosomal RNA (368 nucleotides) under uncultured prokaryote. RNAcentral describes it as "bacterial SSU rRNA". It matches the Rfam family "Bacterial small subunit ribosomal RNA", at positions 524 to 896 of the family's 1533-position model. The record is from RNAcentral.
UACGUAGGGGGCAAACGUUGUCCGGAUUUACUGGGUGUAAAGGGUGCUCAGGCGGUUUUGUAAGUCAGAAGUGAAAUCCUAGAGCUUAACUCUGGAACUGCUUUUGAUACUGCAAGGCUUGAAUGUGGAAGAGGAGGAUGGAAUUUCUGGUGUAGCAGUGAAAUGCGUAGAUAUCAGAAAGAACACCAGUGGCGAAGGCGGUCCUCUGGUCCACUAUUGACGCUAAAGCACGAAAGCGUGGGGAGCAAACAGGAUUAGAUACCCUGGUAGUCCACGCCUUAAACGAUGAAUACUAGACGUUGGGGUUAAACUCAGUGUCGCAGCUAACGCAUUAAGUAUUCCACCUGGGGAGUACGAUCGCAAGGUUG